Molecule: small RNA, 460 nt
Filed under: Pan troglodytes (chimpanzee)
Lineage: Eukaryota; Metazoa; Chordata; Mammalia; Primates; Hominidae
Description: retained intron
Source: RNAcentral
AGCAGCCUUUCUCCUAAGGCACCCUAGGAUCAGGAGGACCCUGUCCUCCAACCCUCUAUCCCCCAUUCCCAGGCACCUGGCGUCCUCGCAGAUCAAUCGUGUUUGCGAGCUGGGGGGCUGAGGAGUUUGGGCUCAUUGGCUCCACGGAAUUCACAGAAGUGAGUGGCCCUACAGGGUAGGGGAUCGAAAGGGGUUCCCAGGACAGAACGGCGCGGGGCUGACGUCGCCCCUCGCACCCGCAGGAGUUCUUCAACAAGCUGCAGGAGCGCACGGUGGCCUACAUCAACGUGGACAUCUCGGUGUUUGCCAACGCUACCCUUAGGGUGCAGGGGACGCCCCCUGUCCAGAGUGUCGUCUUCUCUGCAACCAAAGAGGUGGAAGGGGGCAGGCCGGGCGGGGCUGAACUAGCUGGGGCGGGCCGCGUGCGGCGGAGGCCGCACGGGUGGGCGGGGCUGGGGAG